This 238-nucleotide unclassified non-coding RNA is filed under the name Hevea brasiliensis (rubber tree). Lineage: Eukaryota; Viridiplantae; Streptophyta; Magnoliopsida; Malpighiales; Euphorbiaceae. The record is from RNAcentral.
CUAAAACUACACUUAAACUAUAGUAAAGAGACUUAAAUUAAUGAAAUAAAUGUAAAGAAAAAUUUAAUAAAUAUAAGAAAUAAUUUUGGGACCCAAUUUUAAGGUUUAUUUAGGUAAAAAUGACAUUAAAGAUGUUAAAAAAAAAAUUAGAGAAAAUAAAAUAAAAUUUAAGAGAAUUUAUUAAUUGGUACAAAAAUAAUAAUAAUAACCCCAUGAGCACCAUGAAGGGCAUUUUAGU